GGGAGAGUGGCCGAGUGGUUAAAAGCGACAGACUGUAAAUCUGUUGGAGGUUUUCUACGUAGGUCCGAAUCCCGCCUCUCCCA
RNAcentral lists this transfer RNA (83 nucleotides) under Ginkgo biloba (maidenhair tree). Its description in RNAcentral is "tRNA-Tyr". It matches the Rfam family "tRNA". Rfam says of the family: Transfer RNA (tRNA) molecules are approximately 80 nucleotides in length. Lineage: Eukaryota; Viridiplantae; Streptophyta; Ginkgoopsida; Ginkgoales; Ginkgoaceae. The record is from RNAcentral.